GUGAGUCGACCUCUAUUGCCGUGCAAGCUAAAGAUACAGAACUGUCAAUUUCUGUUCUGUGCCAUAUGAGCUGAACCCAUGAGUCAACCCCUGUACAUGAGUCGACCCCAUGAGUCGAUCUCUGUGCAUGAGUCGACCCUAUGAGUCGAUCCCUAUGACGGAAAAAUAUCGUAAUGGCUAGUUUUUAGCUCGUUUUGGCUACAUUUAAUGCCCAUUUAAUGUGCUCUAACGACUCUAUUUCAG
Molecule: long non-coding RNA, 243 nt
Filed under: Elaeis guineensis (African oil palm)
Lineage: Eukaryota; Viridiplantae; Streptophyta; Magnoliopsida; Arecales; Arecaceae
Description: long non-coding RNA (EGUI_LNC056288)
Source: RNAcentral